Molecule: unclassified non-coding RNA, 216 nt
Filed under: plant metagenome
Description: partial contains small subunit ribosomal RNA, internal transcribed spacer 1, and 5.8S ribosomal RNA
Rfam family: Eukaryotic small subunit ribosomal RNA (bases 1-54)
Source: RNAcentral
GGAAGUAAAAGUCGUAACACGGUUUCCGUAGGUGAACCUGCGGAAGGAUCAUUACAGAGUUCAUGCCCGAAAGGGUAGACCUCCCACCCUUGUGUAUUAUUACUUUGUUGCUUUGGCGAGCGCAAGCUUGCCAGAGAAUACCAAAACUCUUUUUAUUAAUGUCGUCUGAGUACUAUAUAAUAGUUAAAACUUUCAACAACGGAUCUCUUGGUUCUG